GAUGAACGCUAGCGGCAGGCUUAAUACAUGCAAGUCGAGGGGCAGCACGGUUAGCAAUAACUGGUGGCGACCGGCGCACGGGUGCGUAACACGUAUACAAUCUACCUUAAACAGGGGAUAGCCUUUCGAAAGAGAGAUUAAUACCCCGUAAUAAAUUGAACGGCAUCGUUUGAUUUUGAAAGCUCCGGCGGUUUGAGAUGAGUAUGCGUCUGAUUAGCUAGUUGGUGAGGUAACGGCUCACCAAGGCGACGAUCAGUAGGGGAUCUGAGAGGACUAACCCCCACACUGGUACUGAGACACGGACCAGACUCCUACGGGAGGCAGCAGUAAGGAAUAUUGGUCAAUGGAGGCAACUCUGAACCAGCCAUGCCGCGUGCAGGAUGACGGCCCUAUGGGUUGUAAACUGCUUUUAUACAAGAGAAAACCCUGGUACGUGUACCAGGUUGAUAGUAUUGUAAGAAUAAGCAUCGGCUAACUUCGUGCCAGCAGCCGCGGUAAU
This 499-nucleotide ribosomal RNA is filed under the name uncultured bacterium. RNAcentral describes it as "bacterial SSU rRNA". It matches the Rfam family "Bacterial small subunit ribosomal RNA", at positions 28 to 524 of the family's 1533-position model. The record is from RNAcentral.